Molecule: long non-coding RNA, 5793 nt
Organism: Homo sapiens (human)
Lineage: Eukaryota; Metazoa; Chordata; Mammalia; Primates; Hominidae
Exons: 2
Source: RefSeq, a predicted model, not a curated record
UGAAGAGAGAGGCUCCCCUGGUGGGCAGGAAGGAUUGAACAGUCCUGAGCAGACAAACGUGCUCAGAUUGGGUAUUGAAGUAGAGACCUACUCCAGUGCCAGCCCCCAGGAGGGGCACGGCCUGACCGCCUGAUGUCACACAGCAAAUCCUUUCCCCUGUGGCAGUCUAUCCCCCUUCCUUGUUUCAUUUUGCACCGUGGCACUUCUUAGCAUGAGAUAUUCUCUACAUUUCCUUUGUUUGUGUGUUUGUUUGUUGCCCGUUUCUUCCAGUGAGAUCCUAAGCUUCAUAAGGACUGGGGCUGGGGCUGCCUUGGCACUGCUACAUCUCCAGGACAAUAAAUAUCUACUGAAUGAGUGAACACAUGAACAAACGAAGGGAUGAUGAAAUGAAUUGCUCAGGAGGCCCGUCAAGAGCUCUGCUGAGAGACCUGGGUGAUGGGGCUGAGGGUCUUGGGGAGGGUCAAGGAGGUGGGAAUUGCAAGCUAGGACCUGAUGGGAAGGCAUCCACAAAGCUGAGCCACAGAGGCUGUGAGGGAUGGGAGUGGAAGUGAAGAGGGGCCAGAGGAGAUGCUCAGGAGGACAGAGGGAACACUAGCUAGCAGGAAGAUCCAAGGGGAGGGGACCUAUUGCUGUGUCAGAUGACAGUUUCUGGUUGGAAGUCUUGGAUUAAGGGAUCUUCAAGUGUCCCUUUGGAGAAGAGGGUGUGCCUGACCUUAAGCACUGGCCACUUUGGGUGUUUUCAGCUUAUCCCAAUCAGACGCCACUUGCACCCAGUCCUGCUCCCAGCCGGCCCUUUCCCAGCUUGCUCACCUUCUCAGAGGCUCCAGCCUGAUCAAUCACCGCUGGCCCCACCAUGACUCUGGCACAUUUUGCAUCUUUAUGUCAGACCGUCUGUAUCUGUGACUCCCUAAUUCUGUGCAAAACAAAGAAUGAAAAAUAGACUCAGACAUGAGGACUGUACUGGAGGGCACACUUUCUUCCUUUUUUGUCUUUUAAUUUUCUAGGCACAGGUUAUUCUAAACCUCAUCUUGGGCUUGCAGUUGGCAGAAAGAAAAGUAGCAGAUUGGAAUAUCAUGUUAAACAGACACCUACAAGACUGUCAUGAUUUUCUUAUGGAUCAUGGACUGCUGGAAUGAAGUCAGUGCAGGAAAGAAGCUUGUUCGAUCGACAGCUGGUAGACAUGAAGCGUCUCAGAAUGAGGAACGCAUCACAGGCUGUCCCUGUGUUUCUGUAGAAACUUUACCUACAAAAGGAAAAAUAGAGCACGUCAGGCUUCAGUGACAGUCAGUAUGUUCCGUGAGCCAGCUGGGAAACUGCACUCACCUCCAUAUUCUUACCAGGAGAUCUUGGGAUAAUCUGAUUUCAUUCUAGCAAUAGAAUGUGUUUAGGGCCUACGCUACGCCAGGCGCUGUGCUGCAGUAAGACAUGAAGGAGACGUGGACCCUGGGGGAGAUGGACACCCCUCUUGUAGUUAAAGUCCAGUAUGACCAUUGCUUUUGGGGUUAAGCAGCUCUGCAGAUAAUGCCUGUGUUAGGCUGAGCCCUGCUAGUGUCAGUGGAAAUAGCAAUGACAUGUUAAUGAGGUUGUUCCUCAGGGUGCUGAGUUAGAGCCCCAUGCUGCUAACUGUUGUGAUGGUCUUGGACGUGGUGAUUGCUCAUUCUGAGAGAUGUGGAUUACUUUCCAAAUCAAAAAGUUAAUUAGUUUUUAAUUUGUUGGGUUGUCUGAGAGAUACAACUGGAAAAUUCCCCUCUUGCCUUCUUGGUCCCUUAAUCUGGCUGUGUGCAGGCGAUUAUGUUUAACAAGGAGCAGUGAUCAAUCAGUUAUUGACAUUUAUUUCAUCAAAUGUAACUGAAUGUUUACUCAUAUUGGUGGAUUUGCUACCAAAGACUGUCUUAAAUUCAGGGCUAACUUUUCUUUUUAAAUUGUAAAUGAAUAACCUUUAGCAUAAAGCUUUAAAUGAUAUCUAGAAUUUAAAAUCACUAAAUCCUCAUAUAAUAUUUCCAAAUCAUCUUAAUUUCUGAAGAUGGGCACCUAUCCUUUUGCUUUCUUUUCUGUCUAGUGUCUGGUAAUCACCAUUAAUUCCAUUUCUUUUUAGAGUAUCACAGCUUUCUCCUUCACUGACCACCCUUUGCUUCCUGUCAGAAAGCCCUGGACAGAACUCUCUGUGGGAUUCUGCCCAUGUUUCUGAGAUAUCGCCUCAAUUGUCCUGGCUGGGCUGUCGGGUCUGCCCGUUUUACAGAUGGGCAAACUGGAGUGGGAAGUAUCCGGGUGGCUUCCUCAGGCCUGCAGCUGGUGGAGCAGCUACUGAAACAAUCAGGUGAUUCAGAUCUACUGGAGGCUUUGCCCUCAUGGGCAUAAUAAAGUUGGUAUUCCCAGGUCUGCCCACAAGAAGCUAUUGAUGGGUUUAUCAUGUUGAUUCUUUUUUAAAUUAGUAAAGUAAAAGAGUACCUUAAUAGUAAAGACAUUUCCUUGGUAUUUUUAAAAAGUCAUGUGACAUGAUCUCUUCCUUUUGUCUUGAUAAACCUCCCUUUAAACUCUCUGGCUUAGUUAUUUUAGACUUCCCAGCCUCAUGUAAUACUGGUUUCCUUACAUUGAUCCAUUUAUUGUCAUUUAUUGUAAGAUAGGCAAUAGAGGGGACAUCGAGCUUGCUUGCUGUGCUAUCUCUGUUUCAGCCCCAAAGUGCUGGAGACUUGCACUGUUUUGUUUGUUUGUUUGUUUGUUUUGAGACAGAGUCUUACGCUAUCACCCAGGUUGGAGUGCAGUGGCGCUCCAUUGCAGCCUCUACCUCCCUGGGCUCAGGUGAUCCUCCCACCUCAGCCUCACAAGUAUCUGGGACUACAGGUAGGCACCACCAUGCCCAGCUAAUUUUCAUAUUUUUUUGUAGAGAGGGGGGUUUCACUAUGUUGCCCAGGCUGGUCUCGAACUCGUGGGCUCAAAGGAGACUUGCACAUUCUUUGCCUAUAUGGCCAUGCCCAGCCCUCUCCCCUUCACAUCUGGUCUUCUGGGAAGAUGAGAAAGGCAAGCUCAGCCUCUGCUGAUUGGGCAACUCCUAGGCAGGGCUGGCUGAAAGGUGCAGGGACCCCUGGCCUUUAUCAAACUCCCUCAGCUAUCUAAGCCCCUAAAGGUUUAGUGUUGGCAGCUGUGCCUCCCCCACCUUUGACUGUUCUUUAAGGCAGUAAGCCCAUCUACCAGGGCUACACACACCUCUCUCUAACCCCAGAGCCAUCUGACACUGUUCUCUGUGGUGCAGGAGGGGAACACUGACCCCUCGAUUAAGUGGCAUUUCUCAAGAGCCAGCACCCCUUCGGUGUUUUUCAUGAGCACUUGCAGCAAGCUCUGCAUAACUGGAGGAAGCAGGGGGUGUUUAGACCCUCCCCCAGAAUAUCCUGUUCUUUGCUGGAUUAUUCAGCUUGGCUUUCAAACUAGCCCCGGGUUUAGGGUUAAUUCUCUCACCUUCUCUGGCUUUGAAGACCCAGACAUGGUGUGCUGAGAAAUCCAACAACUCAAUAGUUUUCCUUCUGCCUUUAACUCAGCCAUAUAAAUGAGAUAAAGUGUGCAAAACUCUUACUGUGUGCACAGUAAGUGGGAGCCAGCAGUGGAAUACAUGCUACAUAAGGCGCCACUUUAUUUAGCUGUAUUUUGUCAGUCCAAGUGAAGAUUUUAAUUGCAGAAUAGUGUCUUGCUAGCAAAAAUGAACCUGCUUAGAGUCAAGUUUUUAAAAUUCAAGUGAAUAAAUGAAAAAUUGUAAGAAAGAUUGUUAAAGAAGCAUUCAUUUUAAGAACAUCUCAGAUAUGAAAAACUUAGAACUUAGAUGUCAGAAUUUCAGUAGCGAUGAAUCCCAUGGCAAAGCUUCCAUCUCAUCUGUACUAAUUGGUUCAUAAAUUGGACACGUGGGCUUCCUUUUGUGUGUCUUCAGGAAGUUGAGGCCUGAGGAACUCUGAAGCCAGGAGCUUCCUCAGCCCCUCUGCUGCUGGAUGGAGGUGCUGCCAGUCAGGGGCCCAUCUUCAGGACACUGGCACAGGGACCUCCUCAGGCCGGGCCCCUUGUACAGCGGACUCCUUUCUGCUUUGUCUAUGAAGAUCUGGCCACGUUGAGCUCCACUCCAUUCUGCUUUGUCUACGAAGAUCUGGUCACAUGGAGCUCCACUCCAUUUACUUUUUCGUUGCAUUCUCUUCUCAGUGUGGUUGCUUUUGAUCCCCCACUUUCGUAACCCACAUAGCCAAUAUUUUCCCAGUGAAUCCCAUAAUAUUCUGGGUGACAGACUGAGGCUUACUCCCUAACCAAAGACCUCUGAGAGCACAGAUGGAGAGGCGUGACUAUGAUCUGGGGCAGGGCCUCACCAUCCUUUUCCAGAGCCUCACCCCCUGUGCCCAAGAUGGACAUGGGAUGGACCUAGGGGUAGAAUUUGAGAGUGCUCAUUUAUACUCUUUCAGCAGCCUUCAAACUGUUUUUUGGUAGCUGAGAAACUGUAAUCGGCUUUUGGAUUAUGAAAAAUAUUGCUCAGCACUCAUAUUAUAUUGAUUCAAAAAUAAGGAUUGUGUAGUUUAACUGCAUAGUAAAAUACAGCUUUAUAGAAUGGUAAUUUUUUAUUUAAGUUCUUCUACAUUAUAGUGAGAGAUAACGGAUUCAGGAAGGGCACAAUGAGGAAUAAAGCUGUUGUAUUGUAUUGGUUAAAUGACAUUUUAAAUGAUUUGGCUGUCAAACUCGUAGAAAGGUUAUGAGCAGUGAAUGAAAAAUCUAAAAUUAAUUCCCUGCUUCAAGAAAGUGUGAUUUAUACUAUAAUAAAAUUAGAUUUUUAGUUAAAGAAAUUUAGUCAUUAAGUAAUGCCCAUGCACUAAGUCUCAUUUAUAACCAUCUGGUUUGAAGCUUCUGCAGAAAAUAAUUUCUUCCUUAGACAAUGCAUCCAGGGCCUUGGUGUCAUUAUGUCAAUGAAUUUCACUCCUUACAUUUCUGCUACAGCUUUUGAGGGGUUGCUUUUUUAAGCACUGGAAAGAUGGAUUCUUAUUUAGCCUCAAUAAUUGAGGAAGCCGUUGAACUCAUUUACCUCCCAAAAAUAAUCUGAUCGUCUCCCUCUCUUAGCUCUUUUCAUGAAUGGUAAUGUUGUUGAUGAUGGUGGCACAUGUUGGAGGACUGCCUGUGUGCUGGACACCAUGCUAAGCAUGGGACAAGCUUAUUAUUUCAUUUGAUCAUCACAACUACUCUAUGUGGAAUGUGCUAUUUCUGCCUUUACAGAUCAACAAACAGAGACUAAGGAAAUGUUAAAUAAUUCAACAAAGGUGACAGAGGCACAGCUGGCCCCCACUCUUAAUCCCUGUCAUAUUUUUCACGAAUGUGUGUUGAGCAUUUCCUUGGAGGAAGUAGAGUAUAGUGGUAGGACCUCAGAGGUUUGAGUCUAGUCCUGAUGUGGCCACUUCUCAUGUGAAAUUCAGCAAGUUGCAGUCUUUCCCUCAGUACAUCUUUCUUCAUCUGUAAAUUAAAAGUGGGGUUUGUUCCCUCUAUUUAACAAACUUCUGAUUACUCCUGGGUAAUUUGUCUUAUUUUAAAAAUUUUUACUGGAGCAUAUCAAAUAUAUAGUAAAGACACAUAUUCUGAGUGUAGCACUUGGUUAAUAUUUUGUAAGUGAACAUAUCUAUGUGACCACCACCAAGAUGAUAAUAUAGAACAUUUCCAGCAUCCCACAAACCAUUCUGUGUCCCCCGGUCAUUAUCCUCGCAAAGGUUACUACUCAUCUGUCAUCAGAGAUUGGUUUUGCUUGUUUCUGAGAUUUAUAAAAAUAAAAUCUUAUAAACUGUA